Long non-coding RNA from Phacochoerus africanus (Common warthog), 886 nucleotides. RefSeq lists it as uncharacterized. The transcript is spliced from 4 exons. The record is from RefSeq and is a predicted model, not a curated record. NCBI's taxonomy places the organism in Eukaryota, Metazoa, Chordata, Mammalia, Artiodactyla, Suidae.
CAUGCCGCUAGUGAGGGGCACUAAAAAGCAAAAAAAUAAAAAAUAAAUAAAAACCAGAGAUCCAGAGAGAAAGGAUUCCCAACUGCUCUGAUGAUAAUCUGCCUUGCAGACCAGUUUUUAUAUUUGACCAGAGAGCUGAAUCGCAUGAAACAAAGGAAAAAAAAUGAUAUUAGAAGAAGGUACCACUUUAGGCAGUUCAGCAGUUAGAGCAGAAGUAGACAGAGGUGGCUCUAAUAAACAACUCCAGCUUUCUAACUGGCCAAUCCUAAGGCAGAAAUGGGAAAACCUGCCAAAGGGAGAGGAAGAUGAAACUCUAUAAGGGAGGAGAGAUCUAUCCCCAAAUGAUUGAGGCACAUCCCGGCCUCACAUGCAUCCUUAUCCAGCUUAGUUCACAUGGCCCAUCAGUCAACCACUCUUGAGGAUGCUAAACUUCAAGUCCUCUGUACCCCUUUCCUCCAGGUGCUUGCUUGGUCAAUCUGAAACCCUGGGAGGCUGUCUCCUGUGACCAGCACACCUGCACGGCAGAAUGCUGCUAAGAAAACUGCUCUGUGAAGUCACAGCGUGCUGUCUCAAUGACACUACCCAGAAAUCCACAUGGUUCUUCCAGGGGACGUGGCACCCGUUCCCACCUAAGGAACUUGCCAUCACACCAGCAGCCAGCAGCAUGUCACAUUGCUUGUUUCUGCGACCACUUUGAGGAAGAGAAGUGAGGAGGGCCCUCAGGAGGCUGCAAGGCAGCACAUUUCUGUGACCCUGUGAGAUCCAGGAUUUUUUUCGUCUCUAGUGUGUUCCAGAGUAUGGUACAUCUGCCACCGGAGGUCCCUGAGAUGACUCUGGAAGAUCGUUUUCCCAUAUAGGCCAUCACAGAGUAUUGGGUAGAUUUCCC